Long non-coding RNA from Tupaia belangeri chinensis (Chinese tree shrew), 702 nucleotides. RefSeq lists it as uncharacterized. The record is from RefSeq and is a predicted model, not a curated record. The transcript is spliced from 3 exons. Lineage: Eukaryota; Metazoa; Chordata; Mammalia; Scandentia; Tupaiidae.
GCUGGUCCCUGGAUCUUAAACCCAAGCAAGGAGGAACUCUGCCCCGUGGCUGCCCUCUGGCAGUGCACCUUCCCACAGGACUAGGAUGAUGGCCCACCUGGAGCCUGAAUGAUCUCCAAGAGUACUCAGGUCCCUGCGAAGAAGUAUUUGUCAAGGUGGGAGGAAAGAUUUCAUGCCACAUCUUGUAUUCAGAGAUAGUUUACAAAAUUCACGUUUUUUCCAGUGUUGUUUUUUUUUUUAAUUUCAUUUUUUAUAGUUACAUUUUGGCUUGCUUUUCCCCUGGAAGGAAAACAACAGUAAAGAUGGAGAGAUUGAAAUUCAAGUCAUAGGAUGUCCACUGAAUAGAGGAGCCUGAGGAAAGAACAGAGAAGUCUGAGAACUCUGUUGGCAAGGCUGAGGAAGAAUUCUCCUUUUCCAACAGGAAGGAAGAGCCAGGAGACAUGAAACUGGAGCAAAGAAGGUGAAAAUCUGAGAGAAUUCACAUUGCAAAUAACCAUCUCACCACAGAUAAAAACAGCAAGGCACCUGCUGAAAGAGAGGAAGCCAGAUGUGAGUUGGGGAGUCUCAGCGGAGAUGAACUUUUUCUAGCAGCAUCCAGCUUUAAGUGGCCAGGCUGCUAAAUUUGCAGUGUCACUUCAACUUUUGUUUUGUUUUGUUUUUUAGGUUUCUGUCAUAGGGCACAUGUGCUCCCUGGAGAGAGAC